AGCGAACGCUGGCGGCAGGCUUAACACAUGCAAGUCGAGCGGGCACUUCGGUGUCAGCGGCAGACGGGUGAGUAACACGUGGGAACGUACCCUUUGGUUCGGAAUAACGCUGGGAAACUAGCGCUAAUACCGGAUACGCCCUUUUGGGGAAAGGCUUGCUGCCGAAGGAUCGGCCCGCGUCUGAUUAGCUAGUUGGUGGGGUAAUGGCCUACCACGGCGACGAUCAGUAGCUGGUCUGAGAGGAUGAUCAGCCACACUGGGACUGAGACACGGCCCAGACUCCUACGGGAGGCAGCAGUGGGGAAUAUUGGAAAAUGGGCGCAAGCCUGAUCCAGCCAUGCCGCGUGAGUGAUGAAGGCCUUAGGGUUGUAAAGCUCGUUUGUCCGGGACGAUAAUGACGGUACCGGAAGAAUAAGCCCCGGCUAACUUCGUG
RNAcentral lists this ribosomal RNA (433 nucleotides) under uncultured bacterium. RNAcentral's name for it is "partial 16S ribosomal RNA". It matches the Rfam family "Bacterial small subunit ribosomal RNA", at positions 29 to 507 of the family's 1533-position model. The record is from RNAcentral.